UCCGAGUUGACCCCGGCAGUCUCCUGCGAGUCCCCGCCAUUACGCGCUGGCAACACAGGACAAGGGUUGCGCUCGUUGCGGGACUUAACCCCACAUCUCACGACACGAGCUGACGACAGCCAUGCAGCACCUGUGCUGGCGCUCCGAAGAGGGGCCGGUGUUUCCACCGGCUUGCACCAGCAUGUCAAGCCCAGGUAAGGUUCUUCGCGUUGCAUCGAAUUAAAGAACAUGCUCCGCUGCUUGUGCGGGCCCCCGUCAAUUCCUUUGAGUUUCAGCCUUGCGGCCGUACUCCCCAGGCGGGGCACUUAUCGCGUUAGCUGCGGCACCGAAGGGGUCGCUCCCCCCAGCACCUAGUGCCCAUCGUUUACGGCGUGGACUAC
Molecule: unclassified non-coding RNA, 380 nt
Filed under: uncultured bacterium
Lineage: Bacteria
Description: contains 16S-23S intergenic spacer region
Source: RNAcentral